GAUGAACGCUGGCGGCGUGCCUAAUACAUGCAAGUCGAGCGAACAGACGAGGAGCUUGCUCCUCUGACGUUAGCGGCGGACGGGUGAGUAACACGUGGAUAACCUACCUAUAAGACUGGGAUAACUUCGGGAAACCGGAGCUAAUACCGGAUAAUAUAUUGAACCGCAUGGUUCAAUAGUGAAAGACGGUUUUGCUGUCACUUAUAGAUGGAUCCGCGCCGCAUUAGCUAGUUGGUAAGGUAACGGCUUACCAAGGCAACGAUGCGUAGCCGACCUGAGAGGGUGAUCCGCCACACUGGAACUGAGACACGGUCCAGACUCCUAAGGGAGGCAGCAGUAGGGAAUCUUCCGCAAUGGGCGAAAGCUUGACGGAGCAACGCCGCGUGAGUGAUGAAGGUCUUCGGAUCGUAAAACUCUGUUAUUAGGGAAGAACAAAUGUGUAAGUAACUAUGCACGUCUUGACGGUACCUAAUCAGAAAGCCACGGCUAACUACGUG
This 497-nucleotide ribosomal RNA is filed under the name uncultured bacterium. RNAcentral's name for it is "partial 16S ribosomal RNA". It matches the Rfam family "Bacterial small subunit ribosomal RNA", at positions 28 to 507 of the family's 1533-position model. The record is from RNAcentral.